This is a long non-coding RNA of Ursus maritimus (polar bear), 2227 nucleotides long. NCBI's taxonomy places the organism in Eukaryota, Metazoa, Chordata, Mammalia, Carnivora, Ursidae. The record is from Ensembl.
CUUGUUUCUCCUGAAGGCAAAGGCUGGAGGGUAGCUGGGUUAGAGCAGAAAGACAAAGGAAGUUGAUGGAGACAUGAGAACAUUCUGGAAGGGCUCUGAGUAGUUUCAAAGGCUUGAGAGGCUGGAUUUCAUCAAGACAUAUGAUUUUCCUGGGCAUACUUCAUUCUUAGAAUCCGUCACAUCCAUUGGAAGUACCCGGAGAGGGAAACUGAGGCAGAGACACACAGAGGCCCACAGAGAACAAAAUCCUGUCAGAGACAAAUGGCAGACCUUGUUUUCAUGGUUAACAAGGAAGAGGUGAUAGGAAGGAAUUUCAGGGAGAAAAAGUGGUUUAAAAUAAGGAGAAAAGUAGUGGCUAAAGUCAUUUGAUAAAGACACAAAAUCAGAGAGAAGUCAUGAAAUGGGGACUAAGGCAACGUGUGUCUGAAAGAGCCCAUGUACAAAAAGUGCGGUGCUUCCCACUGAGAGGAGGCAACAGCGCGGGGCGGGGGGGCCAUCUCCUGGGGGCAUCGCUCCACAUACACACCCAGGCUCAUACACAGGCUCUGUCACAGACGCACAGGCUCACACGCACAGGCUCACACACACUCCCACAGACACAGGCUCACACACAGGCUCACACACACUCCCACAGACACAGGCUCACACACACUCCCACAAACACACACAGGCUCACACACACACACACACAGACUCUCACGCACAUACACACAGGCUCACACACGCUCCCACAGACACAGGCUCACACACGCUCCCACAGACACAGGCUCACACACGCUCCCACAGACACAGGCUCACACACGCUCCCACAGACACAGGCUCACACACACCCCCACAUACACACUCAGGCUCACACACACACAGACUCGCACGCACAUACACACAGGCUCACACACACUCCCACAGACACAGGCUCGCAGACACGCUCAAAGACACACACAGGCUCACACACACAGGCUCACUCUCACGCACAUACACACAGGCUCACACACACAGGCUCACACACACGCUCACAGAUACACACAGGCCCACACACACACACACAGACUCUCACGCACAUACACACAGGCUCACACACACAGGCUCACACACACGCUCACAGAUACACACAGGCCCACACACACACACACAGACUCUCACGCACAUACACACAGGCUCACACACACAGGCUCACACACACGCUCACAGAUACACACAGGCCCACACACACACACACAGACUCUCACGCACAUACACACAGGCUCACACACACAGGCUCACACACACACACACACACGCCCACACACACACACACAGACUCUCACGCACAUACACACAGGCUCACACACACUCCCACAGACACAGGCUCACACACACACUCACAGACACACACAGGCUCACACACACGCUCACAGAUACACACAGGCCCACACACACACACAGGCUCUCACACACAGACACACACAUACACAGACUCUCACGCACAUACACACAGGCUCACACACACUCCCACAGACACAGGCUCACAGACACGCUCACAGACACACACAGGCUCACAUACACAUGCUCACAGAUACACACAGGCACACACACACACACACAGGCUCUCACACACACACAGACUCUCACGCACAUACAGGCUCACACACACUCCCACAGGCUCACACACACACACAGACUCUCACGCACAUACACACAGGCUCACACACACGCUCACAGAUACACACAGGCCCACACACACACACAGGCUCUCCCACACACACAGACUCUCACGCACAUACACACAGGCUCACACACACGCUCACAGAUACACACAGGCCCACACACACACACAGGCUCUCCCACACACACAGACUCUCACGCACAUAGGCUCUCACACACACACACACAGACUCUCACGCACAUACAGGCUCACACACACUCCCACAGACACACACACACACACACACACACAGACUCUCACGCACAUACACACAGGCUCACACACAUGCUCACAGAUACACACAGGCCCACACACACACACAGGCUCUCACACACACACACAUACACAGGCCGCACGGCCUCCAGGGACCUGAAUAAGCACCACUGGGCACAUUUCGUGCGUGUCCUCCACGGACAGAGCCGCACCCGAUCUGUGCAGGGAAGGCUUCGUCCCCCCACCAGGCAGCCGUUGUGCACCGCUCUCCUCCCACGUAGAGGCUCGUGAGCACUGAGCCCACGACGGACAAACGGCUGACCUGGGGACCCG